CUACGGGGCGCAGCAGUGGGGAAUAUUGCACAAUGGACGAAAGUCUGAUGCAGCAACGCCGAGUGGAGGAUGACACAUUUCGGUGCGUAAACUCCUUUUAUAUAGGAAGAUAAUGACGGUACUAUAUGAAUAAGCACCGGCUAACUCCGUGCCAGCAGCCGCGGGAAUACGGAGGGUGCAAGCGUUACUCGGAAUUACUGGGCGUAAAGAGCGUGUAGGCGGGUUUGUAAGUUGGAUGUGAAAUCCUAUGGCUCAACCAUAGAACUGCAUCCAAAACUGCUUACCUAGAAUAUGGGAGAGGUAUAUGGAAUUUCUGGUGUAGGGGUAAAAUCCGUAGAGAUCAGAAGGAAUACCGAUUGCGAAGGCGAUCUACUGGAACAUUAUUGACGCUGAGACGCGAAAGCGUGGGGAGCAAACAGGAUUAGAUACCCUGGUAGUC
This 439-nucleotide ribosomal RNA is filed under the name uncultured bacterium. Its description in RNAcentral is "partial 16S ribosomal RNA". It matches the Rfam family "Bacterial small subunit ribosomal RNA", at positions 339 to 795 of the family's 1533-position model. The record is from RNAcentral.